AUACGAGGGGUCCUAGCGUUGUUCGGAAUCAUUGGGCGUAAAGCGGGUGUAGGCGGCUCGAUCAGUCAGAUGUGAAAUCCCUGGGCUCAACCCAGGACGUGCAUUUGAUACUGUCGAGCUUGAGUAUUGGAGGGGUUCGUAGAAUUUCUGGUGUAGCGGUGAAAUGCGUAGAUAUCAGAAGGAAUAUCGGUCGCGAAGGCGGCGAACUGGCCAAUACUGACGCUGAGGUGCGAAAGCGUGGGGAGCAAACAGAAUUAGAAACCCCAGUAGUCC
RNAcentral lists this ribosomal RNA (273 nucleotides) under uncultured bacterium. RNAcentral describes it as "partial 16S ribosomal RNA". It matches the Rfam family "Bacterial small subunit ribosomal RNA", at positions 523 to 796 of the family's 1533-position model. The record is from RNAcentral.